RNAcentral lists this ribosomal RNA (213 nucleotides) under uncultured bacterium. RNAcentral's name for it is "partial 16S ribosomal RNA". It matches the Rfam family "Bacterial small subunit ribosomal RNA", at positions 118 to 334 of the family's 1533-position model. The record is from RNAcentral.
UCGGAACGUAUCCUUAAGUGGGGGAUAACGCAUCGAAAGAUGCGCUAAUACCGCAUAAUCUCUAAGGAGAAAAGCAGGGGAUCGCAAGACCUUGCGCUUUUGGAGCGGCCGAUGUCUGAUUAGCUAGUUGGUGAGGUAAAGGCUUACCAAGGCUUCGAUCAGUAGCUGGUCUGAGAGGACGACCAGCCACACUGGAACUGAGACACGGUCCAG